CUGACAUCUUGAGUGCAGCCUGUGAGACCCUGAGCAGAGGUUCAGCAGUCCCCUCCCCGGACUCCUGCCACACAGAAGCCAUGAGGCAUCCCCAUCACACACUAGGCUUGGUGACUGUACUUGAAGGACUCACAGGACUCAGGCUGCCAUCAUACUAGCGGCUGAGAUUUACUACGGUGAAAAGAUGUGACGCAGAAUUAGCAACGGGAAAAUGCAUUUGGGGUGAGGGCCAGAGGAAACCAGGUGACAGAACCAAGGACACACCUUGUUAACGAUGCCCUCAAGGUUGUGAGGAGAAAGAGAACCGGGUGAAGCAACGCUGGGAAUUCAACGCAUCAAUUACCUUCCCAGGUAACAGGAGCUACUUGAGCUCCUAAGAGUUGAUCUUCAGCUGCUGUCAUGGAAAAUACUGGGGGUCAACUAGACAUCAAAGAUGAGAGGCCAGGCCUCCAGCACAACUUUCUGUGUAAGCCAAAUAGUGACUUUCUCCAAGAAAUCCUUUUGUCAA
Molecule: non-coding RNA, 508 nt
Filed under: Pongo abelii (Sumatran orangutan)
Lineage: Eukaryota; Metazoa; Chordata; Mammalia; Primates; Hominidae
Source: RNAcentral